AAAAGACGAAUGCAGCUUGGCGAGUUGUCCCCUAAACGCGAUGUUCCUGGUUACUCAAUAUCAUGUCGCUAACAGCAGAGACUCUACAUGAGCCUGCAGUGAAUCGUGUUUUCAUCCACCUUCAAGAUACAUCACCCUGAAGGGAGUUUCCCUUGUCUUUAAAGUGGAAACUCUCACUUUUGAGACUAUUGUAGCACAGCUGUAGGAGGGACUAAAGAUCACCCCACACAAACACACUGGGCCCCUCCCACGCCUCACUGGAAAGGAAGGAGCAAGAGUGACACUAGGCUAAUGAGCGUCAUAAAUUUCAUGGACAUCCAGCUCACCCAUUAACCAUGAUAAUAACAAGCGGACCCGCAGAGAUCCGAUCUACCACAGUUGAGUCAGGUGACCCCUCUGCAUGCUAACACUUGUACUUUGCUAGCACUCAUGCAAACACUCACACUCAUAAAAACUCUCAAGACAUAGG
Long non-coding RNA from Colossoma macropomum (tambaqui), 469 nucleotides. RefSeq lists it as uncharacterized. The transcript has 3 exons. The record is from RefSeq and is a predicted model, not a curated record. Lineage: Eukaryota; Metazoa; Chordata; Actinopteri; Characiformes; Serrasalmidae.